This 814-nucleotide ribosomal RNA is filed under the name Fusarium sp. BCCM/IHEM 10150. Its description in RNAcentral is "eukaryotic LSU rRNA". It matches the Rfam family "Eukaryotic large subunit ribosomal RNA", at positions 76 to 919 of the family's 3401-position model. Lineage: Eukaryota; Fungi; Ascomycota; Sordariomycetes; Hypocreales; Nectriaceae. The record is from RNAcentral.
UGCCCUAGUAACGGCGAGUGAAGCGGCAACAGCUCAAAUUUGAAAUCUGGCUCUCGGGCCCGAGUUGUAAUUUGUAGAGGAUGACUUUGAUGCGGUGCCUUCCGAGUUCCCUGGAACGGGACGCCAUAGAGGGUGAGAGCCCCGUCUGGUUGGAUGCCAAAUCUCUGUAAGUCUCCUUCGACGAGUCGAGUAGUUUGGGAAUGCUGCUCUAAAUGGGAGGUAUAUGUCUUCUAAAGCUAAAUACCGGCCAGAGACCGAUAGCGCACAAGUAGAGUGAUCGAAAGAUGAAAAGCACUUUGAAAAGAGAGUUAAAAAGUACGUGAAAUUGUUGAAAGGGAAGCGUUUAUGACCAGACUUGGGCUUGGUUAAUCAUCUGGGGUUCUCCCCAGUGCACUUUUCCAGUCCAGGCCAGCAUCAGUUUUCGCCGGGGGAUAAAGACUUCGGGAAUGUGGCUCCCCUCGGGGAGUGUUAUAGCCCGUUGUGUAAUACCCUGGCGGGGACUGAGGUUCGCGCUUCUGCAAGGAUGCUGGCGUAAUGGUCAUCAACGACCCGUCUUGAAACACGGACCAAGGAGUCGUCUUCGUAUGCGAGUGUUCGGGUGUCAAACCCCUACGCGUAAUGAAAGUGAACGCAGGUGAGAGCUUCGGCGCAUCAUCGACCGAUCCUGAUGUUCUCGGAUGGAUUUGAGUAAGAGCAUACGGGGCCGGACCCGAAAGAAGGUGAACUAUGCCUGUGUAGGGUGAAGCCAGAGGAAACUCUGGUGGAGGCUCGCAGCGGUUCUGACGUUGCAAAUCGAUCGUCAAACAUGGGCAUG